Molecule: long non-coding RNA, 2038 nt
Filed under: Schizosaccharomyces pombe (fission yeast)
Lineage: Eukaryota; Fungi; Ascomycota; Schizosaccharomycetes; Schizosaccharomycetales; Schizosaccharomycetaceae
Source: RNAcentral
AUUGACUGACCAAAAUUAAAAAUUAAUUUAGUAGCUAAUAAAGGAGUUUAUACGGUCCGAAAUGGAAUGAGUUAACCAUUGUUGAAUUUCAGCUUCGUCUGUUGGUCUAAUAAUUGGUAUAUCAACCGUUAUUGAACUAUUUGACUAGGGAAAAAAAAGUAAUCAUCAACAAAUACAUUCCCAUAACAAACAAAGAAUUCUGUUGCUUUCAUGAUUAUCAUAAACCGGAUCUUUGAAAAUUAAUCAUAUGAAACUGCUGAUAUCCAGAGACUUUAAUGUGCUUUCAGCGUAUUAUACGAAUGAGGAGCCAACCCCAUAGAUGAACAAAUAAGAAAACUUUCUUUUAAAUAAACAUUUGAAUAUCGUAAACAUUUUAACAGCCCUUUAGCAAAUGUUUGAAAACAUUAAAUCACCGCAAAGGGUCUUCCUUUACAGUCCAAAAACUACAACACUCAACGAAAGAUGUUUUAAAGGUGUCGACUGGCAAUUAAGACAAAUUUUUAAAAAGAAAUAACGCAAGCAAGGGUGCUUCACGCUAUUAUGAUCUCAUUAGUUUUAUCAAAUUUGACAAUUCUAAAGAGGAAGAUUAUUAGCAGAUAGUAAUCGAAAUACAAACGCUUCUUUCAAUAUAGAAUCGUUUGAAUACACAUGUAGCAUAUUAAACCUUUUCCAAAAAAUAACGGAUAACAUUCUCAGCAUUGCAUUUGUUCAAAACUCAUUAGUUUCUAUUUAGGAUAUCUAGUUUGGUAAGUGAGACGAAUUGGAAAAUGAACAUCGAGAUUGAUGAAUUUAGCAGCAUACCCCUAAUAGCAAAUAAGCAAUCACAGUACUUAUUAAAAACUCUAGUGAAUAAACCAGGAUUUUCUUGUAAAGUUAGCAUUUAUCAGAAUUUUGAAGAACGAACCAAUUUCAAUUAUAAAAUAUGCCACGUUUAGCAUAACACCAAUGACACGCUCCACCAACGGGCAUCCCAGUCUCCAUUGCUCAAAAUGACUUCUAAAAAACAUAAGGAGGGGAAUGGCAAAUGCAUUAACAAAAGUCAACUUGAGAAUAGCAUAUAGCAUAUUUACUCCCCGUUUUUGGGGAAAAGAUCUUAUACCUGCUCCGCAAGCGACAAUAACUUCCUUGAUACUCCUGAACCAUGUUUCAUAUGUUGCUAUAGAAUUAGCAGCUGCAUACUGAUAGUAAUCACAUAGUCCACUUACCGAGUAAAAGCCACAUCGAAAAUAUGUUAAUUCCACCAUUUCCCAAUCCAAAUAGCACCCGAUCUUUAGUUGAAAAGUUUGCAAACACGAGAUAUUUAAACAAAGCAAUAUUUAUUACGAAAACAGGAAGAAGUACUGCUGGAAUUUUUGUCGACCAAGCCGUACGAGUAUCAGCAACCUUAGAAGCUUCCAUCACUUUAUGAUCAGCAGGUCUGGAAGUUUUCACUUUUACGUUAAAAUUGCUAUCUUUUUGAAUAUGAAGUUCUUUUUCUUCCCAACGAGGGUAUUUUUCUUACCUAAAGACUGAGGUAUAGUGGCUUCCUCGACCACAGUGUAUUGUGAGACCUGAGUUUCGUGCUCGCCUUUUCCACGUUUAGGAUUCAAUUCAUCCAAAGAAUCCUUAGCCAAAUGAUGAUUGUUUUCCAUAAUGAGCGAUAAAAAGAGGUUGAUCAAAAAAUGCGCCGGUUGAUAUAACUGCGUAAACAAACAAGCAAGGUCCUUUCAAAUUAUCGCAAUUUCAGAUCUUACAAAGUUAUACUAAGCAGAGAAUUACAAAAUUGAAAAAUUUCGAAUCAAUUGCUUAAAACAAAGAAUAUUCAAAAAUAGGAACCAAAAAGCUGAUUUAGGAGGUAGAUUACUUCUAACAUCCGCAUUUUAAGAAGACUAGCAGUAUUCCUAAGUUACAUUAUAUGCUAUAACGAACACUUUGAAGCAAUCUUAUAUCUGGAAAUGCGAAAAAUAAUACAGUCAAUUGAUCGUCAGUAAAUGCAUUAUCGAUACAGAUUAGUCCUUGCCAUGGAUUGACUUCUGCAGUAUAGGAGAGUUAAGUUAAC